This is a long non-coding RNA of Phyllopteryx taeniolatus (common seadragon), 1023 nucleotides long. RefSeq lists it as uncharacterized. The transcript has 3 exons. The record is from RefSeq and is a predicted model, not a curated record. NCBI's taxonomy places the organism in Eukaryota, Metazoa, Chordata, Actinopteri, Syngnathiformes, Syngnathidae.
GGCUGGCUCGGGCCUCUAGUUAGGAAGCCUCGAGGAUGCCUUCCUGCUGAUGUGUUCCAGGAGGCGUCCCACUGGGAAGAGGCUGGACUGGAAACACCUCGCGAUUUAAUUUAAAGGAUUAACCCUACAAAGUUGUUUUUUUGUCACAUAUGAUGGGCAAAAAGGGACAUAAUUAAGGAUUAUCUCUCGCACACACAACUGAAAUCCUCUCAAAAAACACUAUUCAAACACUCACACACUACAAACUACUGAAACACACACACACACGACUGAAACACUCAUGCACACCGCUAAAACGCUCUCACACAUAUUACUCAAACACUCGCAUCCGAUACUCAAACGCUCUCACACACUACCGAAACAGUCAUAUAAACUAUUGAAACACUCAUUCACACUACUGAGAUGCUCUCACACACAACUGAAACACUCACACUCAGUGCUGAUAUUUCUUUCACUACUGAAAGGCUCUUACACACAGUACUAAAACGCUCUGACACACACUCGUGAAUUAUUUUUCACACACAUUCACUACUGAAACACUCUUAAACACAACUGAAAAUGAAGGUUAGGUUUGGUGAACUGAGCGCUUCCCCACCAGGCACAGGAGGAAUUGACCCCCCGCCCUGAGGGGAAGGAUGGUGCACGGUCCAUCCACCCUCGGUUCUGCCUUCCGUAACCCUGGUCCCAAUCCCUGGUGUAUGUGGACUGGCGGCGCCGGCGACUGAGUGAGAAUGGCAGCUGACUGAGAUCUCCCACAAAGAACUCCUCACAUCUGUCCUCCAUUGUUGUGGGGAGGGAUGCCUCAGGUCCUGACGGUUGACACAAGGCAGCUGGACAGCGUCAGGGGAAGCUGUGGCGAAGGAUGCCUCCUGAAGUCCACGAUCAUCUCUACAGUCUUGAGCGUGCUCAGCUCCAGGUUGUGUCGGCUUCAGUGUAUCAGUCGCCAUUUGGAACAGGAAGGGGCCAUUUGGAACAGGAAGGGGCCAUCUUCAAACUGUUUCCACAAAGUUGGAAAUGUCCAAA